This 497-nucleotide ribosomal RNA is filed under the name uncultured bacterium. RNAcentral's name for it is "partial 16S ribosomal RNA". It matches the Rfam family "Bacterial small subunit ribosomal RNA", at positions 28 to 507 of the family's 1533-position model. The record is from RNAcentral.
GAUGAACGCUGGCGGCGUGCCUAAUACAUGCAAGUCGAGCGAACAGGCGAGGAGCUUGCUCCUCUGACGUUAGCGGCGGACGGGUGAGUAACACGUGGAUAACCUACCUAUAAGACUGGGAUAACUUCGGGAAACCGGAGCUAAUACCGGAUAAUAUAUUGAACCGCAUGGUUCAAUAGUGAAAGACGGUUUUGCUGUCACUUAUAGAUGGAUCCGCGCCGCAUUAGCUAGUUGGUAAGGUAACAGCUUACCAAGGCAACGAUGCGUAGCCGACCUGAGAGGGUGGUCGGCCACACUGGAACUGAGACACGGUCCAGACUCCUACGGGAGGCAGCAGUAGGGAAUCUUCCGCAAUGGGCGAAAGCCUGACGGAGCAACGCCGCGUGAGUGAUGAAGGUCUUCGGAUCGUAAAACUCUGUUAUUAGGGAAGAACAAAUGUGUAAGUAACUAUGCACGUCUUGACGGUACCUAAUCAGAAAGCCACGGCUAACUACGUG